Molecule: ribosomal RNA, 1174 nt
Filed under: uncultured bacterium
Lineage: Bacteria
Description: bacterial SSU rRNA
Rfam family: Bacterial small subunit ribosomal RNA
Source: RNAcentral
CGGGUGAGUAACGCGUAGGAAUCUGCCCGAUAGCGGGGGAUAGCCCGGGGAAACCCGGAUUAAUACCGCAUACGCCCCGCGGGGGAAAGGCCGGGAUCUUCGGACCGGCCGCUAUCGGAGGAGCCUGCGUUGGAUUAGCUUGUUGGUGGGGUAACGGCCUACCAAGGCCACGAUCCAUAGCUGGUCUGAGAGGAUGAUCAGCCACACUGGAACUGAGACACGGUCCAGACUUCUACGGGAGGCAGCAGUCGGGAAUAUUGGACAAUGGGGGGAACCCUGAUCCAGCCAUGCCGCGUGUGUGAAGAAGGCCUUCGGGUUGUAAAGCACUUUCAGUAGUGAGGAAGGGGCCUGGGCAAAUACCCCGGGUUCUUGACGUUAGCUACAGAAGCAGCACCGGCUAACUCCGUGCCAGCAGCCGCGGUAAUACGGAGGGUGCGAGCGUUAAUCGGAAUUACUGGGCGUAAAGCGCGCGUAGGCGGUUUGGUAAGUCGGAUGUGAAAGCCCAGGGCUUAACCUUGGAACUGCAUUCGAUACUGCCUGACUAGAGUAUGGUAGAGGGGGGUAGAAUUCCACGUGUAGCGGUGAAAUGCGUAGAGAUGUGGAGGAAUACCGGUGGCGAAGGCGGCCCCCUGGAUCAAUACUGACGCUGAGGUGCGAAGGCGUGGGGAGCGAACAGGAUUAGAUACCCUGGUAGUCCACGCGGUAAACGAUGUCAACUAGCCGUUGGGGAUCUCGUUAUUCUUGGUGGCGCAGCUAACGCGAUAAGUUGACCGCCUGGGGAGUACGGUCGCAAGAUUAAAACUCAAAUGAAUUGACGGGGGCCCGCACAAGCGGUGGAGCAUGUGGUUUAAUUCGACGCAACGCGAAAAACCUUACCUGGCCUUGACAUCCCCGGAACCUGCCAGAGAUGGCGGGGUGCCUUCGGGAACCGGGUGACAGGUGCUGCAUGGCUGUCGUCAGCUCGUGUCGUGAGAUGUUGGGUUAAGUCCCGUAACGAGCGCAACCCUUGUCCCUAUUUGCCAGCAUUCGGUUGGGCACUCUAGGGAGACUGCCGGUGACAAGCCGGAGGAAGGUGGGGACGACGUCAAGUCAUCAUGGCCCUUACGGCCAGGGCUACACACGUGCUACAAUGGGGCGUACAAAGGGCCGCAAGCCUGCGAAGGCGAGCCAAUCC